This is a long non-coding RNA of Ricinus communis (castor bean), 495 nucleotides long. RefSeq lists it as uncharacterized. The record is from RefSeq and is a predicted model, not a curated record. NCBI's taxonomy places the organism in Eukaryota, Viridiplantae, Streptophyta, Magnoliopsida, Malpighiales, Euphorbiaceae. The transcript is spliced from 3 exons.
UCUGUUUCAUUUUCUCUUGACAGUGAAUACAGCUCUGGCAGAUAUUUUGUUUAGCAAUACCCACAAAAGCCGUCUCCCACGGAUAGCACCAUUUGGAGAUUCCUGAUUAGCCCUCCAACCUCAUGCCGGCAGGAGUUUAAUGGCUAAGCUCGAGCUAUCGUCAAGGGUAAACCUGAAAGGUCUAGCUGAGGAGUCGGCACGACGUAAGAGAGAGGAUGAACGUAUAUACUCAAAUUCCAUGCGAGAUCAGAGGGAAAGACACACAUUCCCUUGAAGGGUAAAACACCUUUUGCAGUACAGAUCUUUGGAUGGUUUGAUGCAGACAAAGAUUAAAGAAUAGGCAGUUUCAUCUAAAACACAUGAACAUUUCAAUUUUAAGGAUCAAGAAAAAGCAACCCAUGUUCCAAGAUAAUGGAGCAACAUGCAAUUUUUUUGGUACAUUCUGCCACUUUGUGACUGUAAUCAUUAUUAACUUUUAAUGGGUAGUUUUUGCAA